This 1207-nucleotide long non-coding RNA is filed under the name Anser brachyrhynchus (Pink-footed goose). RNAcentral's name for it is "lncRNA (ENSABRG00000000849.1)". The record is from RNAcentral. Lineage: Eukaryota; Metazoa; Chordata; Aves; Anseriformes; Anatidae.
UGUCUGAAAAUUAAAGUUCCUUACUCUUGGUUUUGUGGCUUGGUGAGCUCAGAGUAAGCCUUUGUUUUCCCACACAAAACUGAAUUAUGAAUUGCAUUAGUUGACCUGAAACUGCCUGUGAUCAGUGAACCUCCAGGGAUGCCCCAUCCCUGGAGGUGUUCAAAGUCAGGCUGGAUAGGGCUUUGGACAACCUGAUCUAGUGGGUGGCAACCCUGCCUAUGGCAGUGGGGUUGGAGUUAGAUGAUAUUUAAGGUCCCUUUCAACUCAAGCCAUUCUAUGAUUUUAUGCUGACAAAUGCAUUCACAGCUGUGAAUACACAAUUUCAUUGUGUAUGAAAAAUAUGAACUUUGAAAAUUGUGAGCACAAAGCAGUUCUGCACUGCAGGCAAGCCCCAUACUACUAGAGAAACACUGCAUAGUCCCAGCAAGCUGCAAUCCUUCCUCAUCUUUCCCAAGCCAUGAGCACACAUUUCCGCAACACAUCUCUCAGCUCUGGGUAACUCCUUUUCUGGGCUCCAUGUCAAAUGCUUGUUUCAUUCAGGCAUUGCAACAAGGUUGGUUCUGGUCCUGCUUUUAGUGUUCGUUGAAGUAUUGGUAAUGCCAAACCCAGGUGCAUUAUUGAAAUGUAUGUUCAUAACAAUAUAUUUGGGAUCUUCAGAUGUGCAAGUCCUAAAAUGCACAAAAUAAACUUUCUCCUACUCUGUUCAGUCUGGCACAUCCUCAGCUUCCUUCCUAGUACCCCUAGUGUAAGAAGAGCAGCCUUAUCACUUGCCCUGGAAGUCAUGGUAUGAGUUUUCUUUACGGCAGAGGGAGAAGUCUUCUAGCUAGGUCCUGUCCUUCUCCUCCAAUGAAACACAAAGCAGAGAGGAAGAGCUGGAGCCAUAUCACUAUAGAAAGUGAUCAAGCUGUCUGUUGUUUUGGAAUGAGUUCCCAGACUUAUAAUCAAAUGAGAAGAUGAAAAGUGAAGAGUGGAUGGCUAACCAGCCACAGCAUACGCUGACUUGAACAUUGCAGUUACAAAAGCUGAAGAUGGGAGAAUGUGAGGAGAAGGAGAAAGUGAGCUGGGGAGAAAUGCCAGAAAGAUUAAACAGAGAAAAAUAAUCACGAGGUUUAGUACUUUGGUCUUGUCACAUAGAAUCAUAAAACAUACUUGAUUUCAUAAAUAGUAUAUAGAUAAAUAAUAGAUAAUAAAUAGAUAAAUAGUUUCA